This 1081-nucleotide ribosomal RNA is filed under the name uncultured bacterium. RNAcentral's name for it is "bacterial SSU rRNA". It matches the Rfam family "Bacterial small subunit ribosomal RNA", at positions 257 to 1345 of the family's 1533-position model. The record is from RNAcentral.
GGAUUGGGUAGCUACAGGCGACGACGGGUAGCCGGCCUGAGAGGGUGACCGGCCACACUGGGACUGAGAUACGGCCCAGACUCCUACGGGAGGCAGCAGUGGGGAAUAUUGCACAAUGGGCGCAAGCCUGAUGCAGCGACGCCGCGUGAGGGAUGACGGCCUUCGGGUUGUAAACCUCUUUCAGCAGGGACGAAGCGCAAGUGACGGUACCUGUAGAAGAAGGACCGGCCAACUACGUGCCAGCAGCCGCGGUAAUACGUAGGGUCCGAGCGUUGUCCGGAAUUACUGGGCGUAAAGAGCUCGUAGGUGGUUUGUCGCGUUGUUCGUGAAAACUCACAGCUCAACUGUGAGCUUGCGGGCGAUACGGGCAGACUAGAGUACUGCAGGGGAGACUGGAGUUCCUGGUGUAGCGGUGGAAUGCGCAGAUAUCAGGAGGAACACCGGUGGCGAAGGCGGGUCUCUGGGCAGUAACUGACGCUGAGGAGCGAAAGCGUGGGGAGCGAACAGGAUUAGAUACCCUGGUAGUCCACGCCGUAAACGGUGGGUACUAGGUGUGGGUUUCCUUCCUUGGGAUCCGUGCCGUAGCUAACGCAUUAAGUACCCCGCCUGGGGAGUACGGCCGCAAGGCUAAAACUCAAAGAAAUUGACGGGGGCCCGCACAAGCGGCGGAGCAUGUGGAUUAAUUCGAUGCAACGCGAAGAACCUUACCUGGGUUUGACAUGCACAGGACGCUGGUAGAGAUAUCAGUUCCCUUGUGGCCUGUGUGCAGUGGUGCAUGGCUGUCGUCAGCUCGUGUCGUGAGAUGUUGGGUUAAGUCCCGCAACGAGCGCAACCCUUGUCUCAUGUUGCCAGCACGUAAUGGGUGGGGACUCGUGAGAGACUGCCGGGGUCAACUCGAAAGGAAGGUGGGGAUGACGUCAAGUCAUCAUGCCCCCUUAUUGUCCAGGGGCUUUCACACAUGCUAACAAUGACCGGUACAAGGGCUGCGAUGCCGUCGAGGUGACGAAUCCUGUAAGCGGUCUCAGUUCGAUGCGGGUCUGCCAACUCAACCCCAUAAAGACGGAGUCGCUUGGAUAAUCGC